UUUGAAGUGAAGGAGAUUAAAGGGUGAGUUAAUGUUUUUUUUCCCCCUAAAUUUUAGCUAUUUUUGAGUUUUUUUAGGUAAAUACACAAAUAAUUAGAAAAUAAUAUCAAACUGUAAAUUAGUUGAUAAUACAUAAAAAUAAUGGAUAUGUUAAUAAUAUCAAAGAAUUUAAUGGAUAUAUUAAUGAUAUAUAAAAAUAAUGAACUUAAUGUCUUU
This 216-nucleotide unclassified non-coding RNA is filed under the name Hevea brasiliensis (rubber tree). The record is from RNAcentral. Lineage: Eukaryota; Viridiplantae; Streptophyta; Magnoliopsida; Malpighiales; Euphorbiaceae.